Molecule: long non-coding RNA, 437 nt
Filed under: Equus caballus (horse)
Lineage: Eukaryota; Metazoa; Chordata; Mammalia; Perissodactyla; Equidae
Description: lncRNA (ENSECAG00000055409.1)
Source: RNAcentral
GUCAGGACCUCCAGAAAGGAAAGUGACAUAACUAGCUUUAAAAAGAUCUCCAGGAAAUGAAGUAUAGCACAUGCCACAUACCUUAUAGACAAGUCUUAACAUGGCCCCAGUUCUACCCUUUGUUUCAACUUCGGCCAAGAAAUUUAAUCUUCAUCAGAAAAGAAUUCCAAGACAAGUUUCCAGCCUCCACCAGUUCCAGUUUUUAUGUACACCGUGGAUGACAGAGAGUGAAAGGACCCUUUUAUCUCUGAUCCAGCACCUGGGCUCUGCAGACACGUUCACCUGAUUGUCUCCCAGGUCAUGACUUCACCUAUACAGAAACCACAUUGAAUUUUCCACGGAUGCCCUCUAUGUCCUUUUGAUCAGGACAAAAGAAUGAGUCAAUAUUUAUGGAACAGGGAUGAGGAAGGAGACAUAUGCUAACUGUUGUGAACUUU